RNAcentral lists this ribosomal RNA (446 nucleotides) under archaeon. RNAcentral's name for it is "bacterial SSU rRNA". It matches the Rfam family "Archaeal small subunit ribosomal RNA", at positions 128 to 574 of the family's 1478-position model. The record is from RNAcentral.
AACUCUUGGGAAACUGGAGAUAAUACUCGGAUAGAUGAUUUUUCCUGUAAUGGGUAUUUUGUUUAUAGGUUUUUUCCCCUAAGGAUGGGUCUGCGGUCGAUUAGGUAGUUGGGGAGGUAAUGGCUUACCAAGCCGUUAAUCGGUACGGGUUGUGAAAGCAAAAGCCCGGAAAUGGAACCUGAAACAAGGUUCCAAGCCCUACGGGGCGCAGCAGGCGCGAAACCUCCGCAAUGUGAGCAAUCGCGACGGGGGGAUCCCAAGUGCCAUUCUUAACGGGAUGGCUUUUCUUAAGUGUAAAAAGCUUUUGGAAUAAGAGCUGGAAAGACCGGUGCCAGCCGCCGCGGAAACACCGGCAGCUCUAGGGGUAGCUGUUUUUAUUGGGCCUAAAGCGUUCGUAGCCGGUUUAAUAAGUCUUUGGGGAAAACCUGUAUUUAACUAGGGAAUUG